UCAAGAAACUUCCACAAUGGGCGAAAGCCUGAUGGAGCGACGUCGCGUGAUGGACGAAGUGCUUCGGCACGUAAACAUCUUUUAUGUGGGAUGAAAUUAUUGACAGUACCACAUGAAUAAGGGGCUCCUAACUCUGUGCCAGCAGGAGCGGUAAUACAGAGGCCCCAAGCGUUAUCCGGAAUCACUGGGCGUAAAGGGUGUCGAGGCGGUUGUAUUAGUCGUUACGUAAAAUCUACGAGCUUAACUUGUAGGCGGCGAACGAAACGGUACGACUUGAGGUUUGGAGAGGUGCGUGGAACUCACGGUGUAGGGGUGAAAUCCGUUGAUAUCGUGGGGAACACCAAAGGCGAAGGCAGCGCACUGGCCAAAAUCUGACGCUCACACACGAAAGCUAGGGUAGCGAAGAGGAUUAGAUACCCUCGUAGUCCCUGAGCGGGCUGGCAAGGCGCAU
RNAcentral lists this ribosomal RNA (451 nucleotides) under uncultured bacterium. Its description in RNAcentral is "bacterial SSU rRNA". It matches the Rfam family "Bacterial small subunit ribosomal RNA", at positions 355 to 825 of the family's 1533-position model. The record is from RNAcentral.